This 460-nucleotide ribosomal RNA is filed under the name uncultured bacterium. RNAcentral describes it as "partial 16S ribosomal RNA". It matches the Rfam family "Bacterial small subunit ribosomal RNA", at positions 338 to 795 of the family's 1533-position model. The record is from RNAcentral.
CCUACGGGAGGCAGCAGUGAGGAAUAUUGGUCAAUGGGCGGAAGCCUGAACCAGCCAAGUCGCGUGAGGGAUUAAAGCCCUGCGGGUCGUAAACCUCUUUUGCCGGGGAUCAGAGGUCCGGACGUGUCCGGGCCGGGAGAGUACCCGGAGAAAAAGCAACGGGCAACUCCGUGCCAGCAGCCGCGGUAAUACGGGGGAUGCGAGCGUUCUCCGGAUUUAUUGGGGUUAAAGGGUGGGUAGGCGGGCAUUUAAGCCGGCGGUCAAAUGUCGGGGGUCAACCCCGGCCUGCCGUCGGAACUGGGUGCCUAGAGUGGGCGAGAAGUAUGCGGAAGGCGUGGUGUAGCGGUGAAAUGCAUAGAGAUCACGCAGAACCCCGAUUGCGAAGGCAGCAUACCGGCGCCCUACUGACGCUGAGGCACGAAAGUGCGGGUAUCGAACAGGAUUAGAUACCCUGGUAGUC